This 492-nucleotide ribosomal RNA is filed under the name uncultured bacterium. RNAcentral describes it as "partial 16S ribosomal RNA". It matches the Rfam family "Bacterial small subunit ribosomal RNA", at positions 29 to 507 of the family's 1533-position model. The record is from RNAcentral.
AGUGAACGCUGGCGGUAGGCCUAACACAUGCAAGUCGAACGGCAGCAUAGUAAGAGCUUGCUCUUACGGGUGGCGAGUGACGGACGGGUGAGGAAUACAUCGGAAUCUACUUUUUCGUGGGGGAUAACGUAGGGAAACUUACGCUAAUACCGCAUACGACCUACGGGUGAAAGCAGGGGAUCUUCGGACCUUGCGCGAUUGAAUGAGCCGAUGUCGGAUUAGCUAGUUGGCGGGGUAAAGGCCCACCAAGGCGACGAUCCGUAGCUGGUCUGAGAGGAUGAUCAGCCACACUGGAACUGAGACACGGUCCAGACUCCUACGGGAGGCAGCAGUGGGGAAUAUUGGACAAUGGGCGCAAGCCUGAUCCAGCCAUACCGCGUGGGUGAAGAAGGCCUUCGGGUUGUAAAGCCCUUUUGUUGGGAAAGAAAAGCAGCAGGUUAAUACCCCGCUGUUCUGACGGUACCCAAAGAAUAAGCACCGGCUAACUUCGUG